Canis lupus familiaris (dog) is the source of this 83-nucleotide non-coding RNA. NCBI's taxonomy places the organism in Eukaryota, Metazoa, Chordata, Mammalia, Carnivora, Canidae. The record is from Rfam.
ACCUGGGUGGCUCAGUGGUUGAGCGUCUGCCUUUAGCUCAGGUCAUGAUCCUGGGGUCCUGGGAUCAAGCCCCACCUCGGGCU